This 807-nucleotide long non-coding RNA is filed under the name Sinocyclocheilus anshuiensis. RNAcentral's name for it is "lncRNA (ENSSANG00000001704.1)". Lineage: Eukaryota; Metazoa; Chordata; Actinopteri; Cypriniformes; Cyprinidae. The record is from RNAcentral.
AGUUGAUUUGACUUCAUUUUUCAGGGCGUGUACGGCACACUCGCGCUCAACAAUAAAGGUUUUCUACAUCAAAGUCUGUCUGGAAUCAGUUUCGCCAGGUACCUUCGUGCACAAACGCUGUUUUUAAAAGUCACUGCCGAAGCUUUCAGUCUCCUGAGAAACAUCAGAGCCAGCAGCAAAUGUCAGAAGGACUAGCCGAGUUGAGGCUGCUCUCCUCGGGUUACAUGAGCACUGAGCGCCGGCUGAUCGCGUGGAGCUCCCGUCUAGAGACUUGCACUCCCGCAUAUGCUCAACCACACAGAAAAAUUAAGUGAAGCUCCUCCCACAACAGUAUCACCUUCAGUGAAGCUCCUCCCACAACAGUAUCACCUUCAGUGAAGCUCCUCCCACAACAAUCACACCUCCAGUGAAACUCCUCCCACAAGCACAUCUUCAGUGAAGCUCCUCCCACAGCAAUCUCACCUUCAGUGAAGCUCCUCCCACAACAGUAUCACCUUCAGUGAAGCUCCUCCCACAACAAUCACACCUUCAGUGAAGCUCCUCCCACAACAAUCACACCUUAGGUGAAGCUCCUCCCACUGCAGUUCAUCAAUAAAUGCUGGAAUAUUCCCAUCAGUCUACAAGUGAAGACGAGCAUCAAAGCAUCAGGAAGAAGUGAAAUCUGCAGAGACAGAGUUUAUUGAAGGACAGAGAGAACAUGAGAGAUCCAGAACCCUGCAGAAUGAAACACACUGAAGAACAAACAGGUUGGUGUUUAUUCUUGAUCCUUCAUCAGUGAAGCUGAAGAACAAUAAGAUGAUAAACAUC